CAUAGCUUUACCCAUUUUUAGCAGUGCUAAUGCUAAGGUCCAACUUGCUAGCAAGGAUAGCUUCCCUGAAGCUAACAUUGCUAAUGAACCGUAUAUCAUAGACGGUUGUGUUAAGGGAGAAGUUUAGCAUCCUACUUCAUUAAAACAGAUUACACACUUUUUGUUUUGUUUCUGUUUUUACUAUUAUUUCAAUAUUUUGCGCAUUAAUCCCAAACCAGUUCUUAUUUCUUUUUAACAAGAGGUACUAAAGCAGAUUAGCAAAACUACCUUAAUGAUGACUUAAAGUUAAACUAAUUUGGUUGAGUAAGUACAUGUCAAUAUUUGAGUUAUUUGUUUUUAGCUGGUAGUUAGAUAAGUUCGACAAAUAAAUUCAUAAAACCAUCCAAAUAAAAUGUUUGCAAAUCGCUCCAUCAAUUUGAUUGAUUUCUUUCUUCACUAUGGAGCAUGUAUUAGUUAAAUGUGAAUUAUCCAAUCAUUAUAUUUCAACAGCUAGAGACCAUAAAGUGGGAUCUUUCCCUUGCACGCAAUUAGGACUGUAGUAUGUCAGUUGUUAUAUCUACAUGAUGGAGACCCCCACCCCCCAUUCCAGACCUCCACCUUGGGGGCUGACAGUAUCUGACAGGCCUCCAGGCAUGCAGCCAGUCUGCGUUGUGGCCUAACACAAGAAUGAACAUGCUUACUACAUUCUGUAUCUUUAAUUUAGUCAGGAAGUUGUCAGUUGAUUUGUGUUGCCUGGAAAUAUGAUGACAGAUUUUCAUGAUCAGUAAAUUUGCAGGGUAAAAAUGCAUUUUUCUGUUUCUCACCAUUUAAAGCUGUUGUGGUUUAUAGUUUUGUGUUUCUCUGGGAAACUUAAAUGCCACAUACCCCCCAUAUCCCCAUUUAAACCCUGAUCUGUAAUUUCAUCCACAUUUGCUCUGGUUGGAGCAUUCCGGCUUUCAAAUCUGAAAGCCUGCAAUUACUAUAUAAUUCUUCGCAAUUUUAGAUGUCCUAAUAUGGGCUGUAAUUUUUUACACAAGACAAUUUCCCGCUAUUUCAAGCAUCAACAUUGUCAAAGUUGUAUGUACAUAAUAAAUGGGAAUAUCAAUGCAUAGUUUUUAGCCUAACAUCUUGACUCAACGAUAAUUAUAUCCGUGUGGAGCCUACGCGGAAUUAGCCUGAAUUGCAUGGUAACUGCUGCUUUAAAUUUUAAAAAAAUUACUCAUAAUUUCCCCCAAAGAUUACCAAGAUCUCGAGUGCACAAUGUCAUCAGCGUAAUGAGGAGUAAACAUUUAUGCUAAUAAUCUACAAUUUUUCCCCCUCGUCGCCUAUAAAAAGGGGAAAUAAAGCAGAGAUUUUCAGUCAUAUUCUGAACUCUGCAGCUAUAGCAUUGGACCGACACAUGGGACGCAUUUGGUGUGGAUUUAAAGCGCUGCUCUGGAGCCUGUGCUGCGGGGAAGCUUUAUGCUCAUCUGUAUCCAUGCGGAUUCUUGCAGUUGCAGAGAAGGGAGCUUCAGACUUAUACUGAAAGAUGAAAGUAAAGUUUGCAUCUCAUUUGUAAAUCGAGGUCCCAGAGUGUGGAGGAAGAGCGGAGAGACAGAAUCCACGUUGCUCCAAGUCCAGCGUGAAGUCUCCACGGCCAUCGAGGAUUUGGGGAGCCUUGCACUCUGCAGAUGUUGGUCCACUGAGUUUCAUCGAAUCCAAAGUCAGCCAACUAUCUGGAAAUGUUAAAGCGCUCCAUGCUGCUGCUGAGAAUCAUUAUAGAGAGGCUGGCUUCAUUUUUCCAACAGGACUUAGCACCUGCUGACGCUCCCGAGAAAUACCAAAACCUGCUUUAAUGGUUCUGGACCUCAUUAACACCCUGGCAGAGUCAAAGAGUGACCACCUCCAUGCCACAAUACAGUAAUCCAUGCAAAAGGCAUCCCAACCAACCAGAAAGUAUAUCAUGUGCAGGAACACUGACAUACUUUUUUUAACAGGCCAAUAUUCCCAUGUCAAAACAAAAUUACUUUUGUGUCGAUCUUAUAUAACAUUAUGUCAGCUGCGUGUGAUUACAGCUGUUCCUCUUUGCAGAAAAUUGAUUUAAUCAAUUCCCGCCGCACUGUGUAGGACACCAGGCGAGGUUUCACACAUUCACAUUUAACACUUAUAAGAGAGAAGAAGGAGAAGCUGUUAAGAUGGGAGCAUGCUGUCUUUUAGCAUGAUAAGCCACAGGGGGAGGCGAGGCUCACAUCUUGUCCUCUCCGUCCAAACGUGCGACCCGGGACAGCCCGUCACAAAGAUACGCUCAUUUACCGCCGCUUUGGCGCACGCUCAGACAAAGUUAGGACUGUUUUUUUUUUUUCUCCCUCACCAACCCCUUCCCAGCAGCUUAUGGACAUACAGGCCAGGCACAGGACAGACAUAAUGUCUAUAGAGUGCAUUUUGUUUGAAUUGCAGGUUGUCUCAUAGAAUUAAAUCCAAAUAUAACCCCGAAAUAUUUUACCCGAUGAGCAUAAACUAUAUUUUAAGAGUCAAAAUAUGUCAUUCGAGAUUGAUUGUGGACGUGAAAAGUCCCUCUCAAUGAGAUGAACCCGCUGUGUGGGCUGCGUUUUUAUUUUCAUUCCCAUCUUCCUCGAGAUCCACCUCCUUUGUAGCGCUCCAAAGUCACUUGUUUGACUGGUCAAUUGCUAUGUUUUCCCCCCUCGCAGCCAAACAAAGUCAAAUUGAUGUUUUCACAGCUCUGUCUUAUGUCAGUGCUUGAAGGAAUUAUUCAGUCUGCUUUUAUCAAAUGACGAGAACUUGAAAUAGGCUAAUGCAGAAAUGGGAGCGAUUCAGAGACAUUCCAGCCCCCUUUUUAAAUUUCUCCCAAAAGAAAACGAAAAGAAGAAAAAAAAACAUGCACUUUUUUUUUUGCCUCUUUUCUUUCUUGCGAAGAAUAAAAGGAGUGUUUUCAUA
This is a long non-coding RNA of Fundulus heteroclitus (mummichog), 2913 nucleotides long. RefSeq lists it as uncharacterized. Lineage: Eukaryota; Metazoa; Chordata; Actinopteri; Cyprinodontiformes; Fundulidae. The transcript has 2 exons. The record is from RefSeq and is a predicted model, not a curated record.